UGCGGGGUGGUGUAACGGUAGCACAGUCGCCUUUGGAGCGAUUAAUCGGGGUUCGAAUCCCUGCCCCGCAG
RNAcentral lists this transfer RNA (71 nucleotides) under Candidatus Woesebacteria bacterium. Its description in RNAcentral is "tRNA-Gln". It matches the Rfam family "tRNA". From Rfam's summary of the family: Transfer RNA (tRNA) molecules are approximately 80 nucleotides in length. Lineage: Bacteria; Candidatus Woeseibacteriota. The record is from RNAcentral.